GGGCGCAUAGCUCAGUUGGUUAGAGCGUUACACUGAUAAUGUAAAGGUCCCUGGUUCGAAUCCAGGUGCGCCCACCA
RNAcentral lists this transfer RNA (77 nucleotides) under Candidatus Kerfeldbacteria bacterium CG_4_10_14_0_8_um_filter_42_10. RNAcentral describes it as "tRNA-Ile". It matches the Rfam family "tRNA". From Rfam's summary of the family: Transfer RNA (tRNA) molecules are approximately 80 nucleotides in length. Lineage: Bacteria; Candidatus Kerfeldiibacteriota. The record is from RNAcentral.